This 253-nucleotide ribosomal RNA is filed under the name uncultured bacterium. RNAcentral describes it as "partial 16S ribosomal RNA". It matches the Rfam family "Bacterial small subunit ribosomal RNA", at positions 524 to 776 of the family's 1533-position model. The record is from RNAcentral.
UACGUAGGGUGCAAGCGUUGUCCGGAAUUAUUGGGCGUAAAGAGCUCGUAGGCGGUUUGUCACGUCGGCUGUGAAAACCCGGGGCUCAACCCCGGGCCUGCAUCCGAUACUCCCGGACUGGAGGCAGGUAGGGGAGAUCGGAAUUCCUGGUGUAGCGGUGAAAUGCGCAGAUAUCAGGAGGAACACCGGUGGCGAAGGCGGAUCUCUGGGCCUGUCCUGACGCUGAGGCGCGAAAGCUAGGGGAGCGAACAGG